Manis javanica (Malayan pangolin) is the source of this 444-nucleotide long non-coding RNA. RefSeq lists it as uncharacterized. Lineage: Eukaryota; Metazoa; Chordata; Mammalia; Pholidota; Manidae. The record is from RefSeq and is a predicted model, not a curated record.
GGAAAUUAAGAGGGCCACUUCUGGUCUGGACUCCAAAGCAUCCCAACGUGCCUUCUUGCAUGUGGUGGUGACCCAGCUUCAGUCGUGCAGCUGACCAAGGGGGCUUGGAGGGCACUUGGGUAGGGCACGAAUGGAAACAGGACAUCACAGCGAGCUUCUAGUGUGUCUUCAGCACUGUGCCAAGUACUGGAGUGUACCCAUACUGAGGAAGCAGCCUCAGCUGGCUGGAAAAAAAAAGUUGCGUAUUCUCAGAAUGACUGCUUUCUGAGACCAGAGGUGAUGUCUGGAGCUGGGGCAGCCAUCCUAGGAUCAUGAUGCUAGAAGCAUGUGGAAGAGAAGCCGAUGUACUAAGAAUGGAAGAACAGAAAGAUAACAAGAGCUAGAAUGACACAGUUGGCCUGCCAGAUAAACAGUGAGACCACUUCCAAUAAAUGUCUGCAUCAU